AUACGGAGGGUGCGAGCGUUAAUCGGAAUUACUGGGCGUAAAGCGUGCGUAGGCGGUUUGUUAAGUCAGAAGUGAAAGCCCUGGGCUCAACCUGGGAACGGCUUUUGAGACUGGCAGACUAGAGUUGAGUAGAGGGGAGUGGAAUUUCCGGUGUAGCGGUGAAAUGCGUAGAGAUCGGAAGGAACACCAGUGGCGAAGGCGACUCCCUGGACUCAAACUGACGCUGAGGUGGGAAAGCGUGGGGAGCAAACAGGAUUAGAAACCCUUGUAGUCC
This 274-nucleotide ribosomal RNA is filed under the name uncultured bacterium. RNAcentral describes it as "partial 16S ribosomal RNA". It matches the Rfam family "Bacterial small subunit ribosomal RNA", at positions 523 to 796 of the family's 1533-position model. The record is from RNAcentral.